CGGAAGUCGACGGCGGGCCCCGCCCUCGCGAGGAGGGUGGCCGUCACCGACCGCCGAGGAGCCCCAGCGCCGUUCACACCCUCCUCGCCGACAUCAUGCUCCAGUUCCUGCUUGGAUUUACUUUGGGCAACGUGGUCGGAAUGUAUCUGGCUCAGAACUAUGACAUACCAAACCUGGCUAAAAAACUUGAAGACAUUAAGAAGGACCUGGAAGCCAAGAAGAAGCCCCCUAGCUCCUGACGCCCUUGCCGGCGCUCCAUCCUGGACACAGAUCCACUGCUGCCAGGGCCUCCUUUGCCACCGCGUCUCACUCACAGCUCUCAUUUUCCUCUCCGGUCCGUUAUUUUCUUAGCUCAACCCCGUAUGUUGCCUCAGAGCCAAGAUGGGGCCUCAAGUUAAGUUACCCUUUGCACAUUUUCAACAGCCUCACCUUGUCUCAUAUCUUCCUUCCAACUACUUGGGAGGUUUUAAGACUGGAAUUAUGGUGCUAGAUUAGCAAACCCAACCUUUAACUGGUAGCUGCUCCUCUGUUCUUUGGGAAUUUCUAUCUUUCGCCAAAAGAAAAAUUGAUGUGUUUUGUAUAGCUGAUCAUAUAUACAAGUAAUGCUGAUUUCACAAUUUAGCAAUUACAAUGGGUGCUUGUUAGACAUUUGUUACUAAAUUUUGUUGUUUCAAAGCAAUUAAACUUAGUAUGUGGAAGCCAGUUUCUGAUGAAUUAUCCAUUUUAUUUUGUAUUGUUAUUAGGAGCUCCGCUGACUGUUAAUUUAAUCAAUCAAUUGUUUGCUGGUCAUUCCCUGAGAAAUUAAAGUCUAAGAAUACUGAGAUUCUUACACCAAGAAACUGGGGUUUUUAUCAAAUUGUACAGUUUUAUUUAGUAUACAUAGUUUUCUUCAAUGAUAUAUUUGACUCUUCCUCAGAAGAACCAUUCUUGGGAUUAUGGGUGCAUUUGAUGCUGCAUCAUGGAUGGAGACUCAAAGCCUAAGCUGGCCUCCAACUUGCUAUUUAGCUGAAGAUGACUGUGAGCUCCCGAUCCUCCUGCCUGCAGCUCGUCUGUGCUGGGAUUACAGGCACGCGCCACCCUUCCUGGCUGCUAGUUUUGUUCUCAGUGGAGUUCGUUUCCUUCAGUAUAAGGAACAGGGUUCUUUUUUCACCUUGUACGAUUCUGUGGAAUGAACCCAGCAUAACUGAACGUGCUGCUGCUGACUCUUGGUGGCUCUUCUGCUAGAGUGGGGCGACCCUGCCAGUGUCAACACGCAUCUGUCCAGGGCACAGCUAUGGUUAAGGGCCUAAGAGUGUUGUUUGCAUUAACGUGGAUUAGGUUGCUUCAGAGGGCUUGCUGGGCAGCUUCACUAAUGCCUUUCAGACAACAUUUGUACAGAUUUAACUAGAAUGACUUACAGACACACCUCUUCAGAUGGUGACACUGAUCCUAUAUGUACUUCUAAAAGUUUGUCUUUGAAGACCUGGACCUCUCAUACAUGCAGAUCAGGAUCCCUGUUAAAGUCACCCUCAUGUAUGAGACAGAUAAGGAUCAAAUUAAGGUUUGGCUUUUCAUUUGAGCAAGUGGCUCAUUCUUUCUGAAAUUUGCAUUAUCUGUAAGAUGUAGAUGUAUUACCUACCUCAUAGGAUCUUCAUGAGAAAUAACUGAGAUAAUGUACCUGUUUUGUUACACUGUACUUUGCAAAUUAUCUAAUAAAUAGUAGAUUAUUAGUGGAAA
RNA transcript from Jaculus jaculus (lesser Egyptian jerboa), 1716 nucleotides. It is a transcript of the gene named short transmembrane mitochondrial protein 1, with no coding region annotated. The record is from RefSeq and is a predicted model, not a curated record. Lineage: Eukaryota; Metazoa; Chordata; Mammalia; Rodentia; Dipodidae. The transcript has 4 exons.